Molecule: ribosomal RNA, 424 nt
Filed under: uncultured prokaryote
Description: bacterial SSU rRNA
Rfam family: Bacterial small subunit ribosomal RNA
Source: RNAcentral
UGGGGAAUAUUGGACAAUGCGGGAAACCGUGAUCCAGCAAUGCCGCGUGAGUGAUGAAGGCCUUAGGGUUGUAAAGCUCUUUUACCAGGGAUGAUAAUGACAGUACCUGGAGAAUAAGCUCCGGCUAACUCCGUGCCAGCAGCCGCGGUAAUACGGAGGGAGCUAGCGUUGUUCGGAAUUACUGGGCGUAAAGCGCACGUAGGCGGACUAUUAAGUCAGGGGUGAAAUCCCGGGGCUCAACCCCGGAACUGCCCUUGAUACUGGUAGUCUUGAGUUCGAGAGAGGUGAGUGGAAUUCCGAGUGUAGAGGUGAAAUUCGUAGAUAUUCGGAGGAACACCAGUGGCGAAGGCGGCUCACUGGCUCGAUACUGACGCUGAGGUGCGAAAGUGUGGGGAGCAAACAGGAUUAGAUACCCCCGUAGUCC